This 321-nucleotide ribosomal RNA is filed under the name uncultured Actinomycetes bacterium. RNAcentral's name for it is "bacterial SSU rRNA". It matches the Rfam family "Bacterial small subunit ribosomal RNA", at positions 28 to 349 of the family's 1533-position model. Lineage: Bacteria; Bacillati; Actinomycetota; Actinomycetes. The record is from RNAcentral.
GAUGAACGCUGGCGGCGUGCUUAACACAUGCAAGUCGAACGGUGAAGGAGAGCUUGCUCUCUGGAUCAGUGGCGAACGGGUGAGUAACACGUGAGCAAUCUGCCCCUGACUCUGGGAUAACAGUUGGAAACAGCUGCUAAUACCGGAUACGAGCUUCGAAGGCAUCUUCAGAAGCUGGAAAGAACUUCGGUCAGGGAUGAGCUCGCGGCCUAUCAGCUAGUUGGUGAGGUAAUGGCUCACCAAGGCGUCGACGGGUAGCCGGCCUGAGAGGGUGACCGGCCACACUGGGACUGAGACACGGCCCAGACUCCUACGGGAGGC